CCUACGGGGUGCAGCAGUGGGGAAUAUUGGGCAAUGGGCGCAAGCCUGACCCAGCAACGCCGUGUGAGGGAUGAAGGUCUUCGGAUUGUAAACCUCUGUCAGAAGGGAAGAAGUGCGAGUGGUCCAAUAGGCCACUUGUUUGACGGUACCUUCAGAGGAAGCACCGGCUAACUCCGUGCCAGCAGCCGCGGUAAUACGGAGGGUGCAAGCGUUAUUCGGAAUCACUGGGCGUAAAGCGUGCGUAGGCGGCGAGGUAAGUCAGGUGUGAAAUCCCACGGCUCAACCGUGGAACUGCACUUGAAACUGCUUUGCUUGAGUACUGGAGGGGAUGGCGGAAUUCCUGGUGUAGGAGUGAAAUCCGUAGAUAUCAGGAGGAACACCAGUGGCGAAGGCGGCCAUCUGGACAGUAACUGACGCUGAGGUACGAAAGCGUGGGGAGCAAACAGGAUUAGAUACCCCCGUAGUC
RNAcentral lists this ribosomal RNA (466 nucleotides) under uncultured bacterium. RNAcentral's name for it is "bacterial SSU rRNA". It matches the Rfam family "Bacterial small subunit ribosomal RNA", at positions 338 to 795 of the family's 1533-position model. The record is from RNAcentral.